AAUAUUCUGUGGACAGAUGAAACCAAAGUUGAGUUGUUUGGAAGAAACACACAACACUAUGUGUGGCAAAAAAAGGCACAGCACACCAACAUCAAAACCUCAUCCCAACUGUGAAGUAUGGUGGUGGGGGCAUCAUGGUUUGGGGCUGCUUUGCUGCUUCAGGGCCUGGACGGAUUGCUAUCAUCGAAGGAAAAAUUAAUUCCCAAGUUUAUCAAGACAUUUUGCAGGAGAACCUUAAGGCCAUCUGUCUACCAGCUGAAGCUCAACAGAAGAUGGGUGUUGCAACUUGACAAUGAACCAAAGCAUAGAAGUAAAUCAACAACAGAAUGGCUUAAACAGAAGAAAAUACGCCUUCUGCAGUGGCACAGUUAGAGUCCUGACCUCAACCCGAUUGAGAUGCUGUGGCAUGACCUCAAGAAAGCGAUUCACCACAGACAUCCCAAGAAUAUUGCUGAACUGAAACAGUUCUGUAAAGAGGAAUGGUCAAGAAUUACUCCUGACCGUUGUGCACGUCUGAUCUGCAACUACAGGAAACGUUUGGUUGAAGUUAUUGCUGCCAAAGGAGGUUCAACCAGUUAGUAAAUCCAAGGGUUACAUAGACACAUAGAAUGUGACGGCAGAUAAGAACCAUUUGGCCCAUCUAGUCUGCCCAAUUUUCUAAAUACUUUCAUUAGUCCUUGGCCUUAUCUUAUAGUUAGGAUAGCCUUACGCUUAUCCCACGCAUGCUUAAACUCCUUUACUGUGUUAACCUCUACCACUUCAGGUGGAAGGCUAUCCCAUGCAUCUACUACCCUCUCAGUAAAGUAAUACUUCCUGAUAUUAUUUUUAAACCUUUGUCCCUCUAAUUUAAGACUAUGUCCUCUUGUUGUGGUAGUUUUUCUUCUUCUAAAUAUAGUCUCCUCCUUUACUGUGUUGACACCCUUUAUGUAUUUAAAUGUUUCUAUCAUAUUCCCCCUGUCUCGUCUUUCCUCCAAGCUAU
Pelobates cultripes (western spadefoot toad) is the source of this 979-nucleotide non-coding RNA. The record is from the annotation of a GenBank genome assembly. Lineage: Eukaryota; Metazoa; Chordata; Amphibia; Anura; Pelobatidae.